ACCUCUUUAAUAAUGAAUACUAACCAUUACUUCUAUUGUUUUUCUUUUACGUUGUAGGCAAUGGUCAGAAAAUAAGUGUGAAAUUCCAAAAAAGACCCUUUUAGCCUUUUACAAUUCCAGCAUAUCGUGUAGGCACCCAUGGAAGACGGCAAGAUAGAAAGUGGCGUGCAUAGGGCUGGGAGAUACGAUUUUAACUCUCUUCCUGAAUAAGGAGGCAGCAAUGGCGAAGGGGGUUCAUGCAAGAAGGGCCCAUAUAUUUGAUUUAAAAUAGCAUUGAUGGAUACCAAGGGAAUGGAGUAAAAUUCCAUGAUCUAAAUAAUAAUCCUGGAAUACUUAUUAGAAAGGGACGUCGGAGAAAAAGAGCUCACAAACAAGACAGGGGAUCCUACCCUCAAAUCCCCUGAAGCCAGGAUGGACUUUUCAUCCAUCGAGGAGGAGGAGCUGCUAAGGUCACCAGCCGCUAGCAACUCAGAAGCUGAAGUAAGCGAACUCCUCGACCAGGGCAGACCAAAAGGUUUUGACCAGGCGAGAGUUAACGCUACCGAAGUUGAAAAAUUGCUGCGACUCAAGAAAAAAAAGAAGCAGGCAAGGAACCGCAACCGCACAAAGAGGAAGGACAGAGGAAGAAGGAGAAGCGAGAAGCCAACCAGGAGGGAUCAACAGUUCCUCCAGGACCAGCUUCUGCUUCUACAAAUCCUCUUGUAGGAGGCAGCUCUAAGGGCAUCAACAAAGCCUCGGAACAGCGGGCAACACCGGAGGAGUCGCCAGCUAGUAAAAGGGCGUGGACCAAGGACAAGAGAUGUAAGGCGAGAGGCAGAUAAGCUGAAGCCAAUCAUCCUGCCCGCGGCACCCGCCGCUCUCAGGGAAGAGGACACCCAGCAACGGCGCCUUUAGUAAAAAGAGGCAAAUCAAAAAGGAUACCCCACCCGACCGCCAGCAUAAGAAGCCUAGGCAACAGCGCAGGUCCAUCCCUCAAAAAGAUGUGCAGACAGGCGCGUCUCCCCUUCUAAGAAGAGAUACCCAGUCAGGGCAUCUACGAGGAAGAAAUGAGCAACCCAGUUCCGGCUCCUAUAGCGGGGCAGUCAACAGGGCAAAUCAGGUCGUUUUUAGGUCAGACAGAGAAGGUGAAAGGACCGCCUAAGGCUCCACCUCAUCUCUGAAAUGAGGACGACCAAGGCUGAGCUCCACUCUCAAAACUCCGGACUCACAGAGACGGGCUGGUUUCUGGUUACGACGGAGGAUGAACCCUCAAGAGACUGGCUUUUGAGCUCCUGUCAACCACUGACCGAGGGUAGUCACACCUUCACCGCGGUGAAGUCAUCCGACGCCCCAUGACCAGUGGAGAUAGUCUUCACUCUGAGAACACCGGAGCGGCCAGACUUAGAGUAUGUCAGGGAAAUCCUUGACGUCCGAGCUUUUCGAGUGACCGUUUGGCGAACGCCCACCAGGCCCAGCACCGCAUCCGUAACCUCCAAGCCACCAGAAGGGAAGCCUUAGGUAGGUAAGAGGGCUACCCCUACACCCAUGGAUGUCCCCCAUGGCGCAAUUAAAGGGAACAAAUAAGAGGACUAGGGGCCACCGGCUACAAACUUAUAGCCGGUGUUGAAGGAGACCAGAGGCCCAGAACGUGUCUCUUAGCAUCCAGGGAGCUUCAACUAACACUUUUACCACAAGUAAGCUCCAAGGAUGCUACGGCAGCUCUGCUGGAGUACACGAUCUUGAAGUCAUCAACAAAGGAGACUCUUCCAGUGUUUUACCACCCUUGGAUGGCUAUCAAUAGGAAUUAAAAAGAGCAACGGCCUAAAAUUACUACCCUGUGGCACCACAGAAACUGCAGAAAAACCCUUAGACAUUGAUUUUGCAACUUUAAAAAUCUAUUGUAGUAAGGUCAGGUAUGUUUUCAAAUUGUAGCGUUUUUACCAAUAAGAUACACUAAACACUUUUUACCGUUUUUACACACUAAACACUAUAAGUUAAGACUACUAAAAAUAUUUAUUUAAAAGUCUAUUCAAUUUUAAAAGUCGCGCCAAUACUCUUACUUAACCUGAAUUCCUCUUAGAACCUAGCAGUUUUUAUUAUACAGAAGGAAUAAAAAUGAA
RNAcentral lists this long non-coding RNA (2099 nucleotides) under Anthonomus grandis grandis. RNAcentral's name for it is "uncharacterized LOC126744122". The record is from RNAcentral. Lineage: Eukaryota; Metazoa; Arthropoda; Insecta; Coleoptera; Curculionidae.